CCUACGGGUGGCAGCAGUGAGGAAUAUUGGUCAAUGGGCGCAAGCCUGAACCAGCCAAGUAGCGUGAAGGAUGACUGCCCUAAGGGUUGUAAACUUCUUUUAUCAAGGAAUAAAGUGAGGCACGUGUGCCUUUUUGUAUGUACUUUAUGAAUAAGGAUCGGCUAACUCCGUGCCAGCAGCCGCGGUAAUACGGAGGAUCCGAGCGUUAUCCGGAUUUAUUGGGUUUAAAGGGUGCGUAGAUGGGUUGUUAAGUCAGGUGGGAAAGUUGGCGGCGCAACCGUGAAAUUGCAAUUGAUAAUGGCAGGCUGGAGUACAGAUGAGGUAGGAGGAAUGCGUGGUGUAGCGGUGAAAUGCAUAGAUAUCACGAAGAACACCGAUUGCGAAGGCAGCUUACGAAACUGCCACUGACAUUGAUGCUCGAAAGUGUGGGUAUCAAACAGGAUUAGAUACCCGAGUAGUC
Molecule: ribosomal RNA, 460 nt
Filed under: uncultured bacterium
Lineage: Bacteria
Description: partial 16S ribosomal RNA
Rfam family: Bacterial small subunit ribosomal RNA
Source: RNAcentral